AACGAACGCUGGCGGCACGCCUAACACAUGCAAGUCGAGCGGCAGCGAGUUUAGCAGCAAUACUAAAUGUCGGCGAGCGGCGGACGGGUGAGUAAUACGUAGGAACCUGCCCUUGAGCGGGGGAUAACUAAGGGAAACUUUAGCUAAUACCGCAUAAACUCGAGAGAGCAAAGUUGCCGUAAGGUGACACUCGAGGAGGGGCCUGCGUCCGAUUAGCUAGUUGGUAGGGUAAGAGCCUACCAAGGCGAUGAUCGGUAACUGGUCUGAGAGGACGACCAGUCACACUGGGACUGAGACACGGCCCAGACUCCUACGGGAGGCAGCAGUGGGGAAUAUUGGACAAGGGGGGCAACCCUGAUCCAGCGAUGCCGCGUGAGUGAAGAAGGCCUUCGGGUCGUAAAGCUCUUUAGGUUGGGAAGAAGGGUGUGCGUUGAUAAUGCGUGCAUUUUGACAGUACCGACAGAAUAAGCACCGGCAAACUCUGUGCCAGCCGCCGCAGUAA
This 502-nucleotide ribosomal RNA is filed under the name uncultured bacterium. RNAcentral describes it as "partial 16S ribosomal RNA". It matches the Rfam family "Bacterial small subunit ribosomal RNA", at positions 29 to 523 of the family's 1533-position model. The record is from RNAcentral.